RNAcentral lists this ribosomal RNA (407 nucleotides) under uncultured bacterium. Its description in RNAcentral is "partial 16S ribosomal RNA". It matches the Rfam family "Bacterial small subunit ribosomal RNA", at positions 30 to 526 of the family's 1533-position model. The record is from RNAcentral.
AUUGAACGCUGGCGGCAGGCCUAACACAUGCAAGUCGAGCGGAGCUGCGAACGGGUGAGUAAUGCCUAGUAAUCAGCCUGUUAGUGGGGGAUAACGUCCGGAAACGGGCGCUCAUACCGCAUAAUAUCAGAUGAGCCUCGGUUGGAGUAGCUAGGUGGUGGGGUAAAGGCCUACCAAGGUGACGAUCCGUAACUGGUCUGAGAGGAUGAUCCGUCACACUGGAAAUGAGACACGGUCCAGACUCCUACGGGAGGCAGCAGUGGGGAAUAUUGGACAAUGGGCGAAAGCCUGAUCCAGCCAUGCCGCGUGUGUGAAGAAGGUCUUCGGAUUGUAAAGCACUUUAAGUUGGGAGGCGUUACCAAAAGAAUAAGCACCGGCUAACUUCGUGCCAGCAGCCGCGGUAAUUC